Molecule: small nuclear RNA, 19 nt
Filed under: Arabidopsis thaliana (thale cress)
Lineage: Eukaryota; Viridiplantae; Streptophyta; Magnoliopsida; Brassicales; Brassicaceae
Description: snRNA_05955
Source: RNAcentral
ACCGGAAGCCGGGUUACGG